GGCCGCGGGAAUUCGAUUCAGGCCUAACACAUGCAAGUCGAGCGGCAGCGGGAAGGUAGCUUGCUACUUUUGCCGGCGAGCGGCGGACGGGUGAGUAAUGCCUGGGGAUCUGCCCAGUCGAGGGGGAUAACUACUGGAAACGGUAGCUAAUACCGCAUACGCCCUACGGGGGAAAGCAGGGGACCUUCGGGCCUUGCGCGAUUGGAUGAACCCAGGUGGGAUUAGCUAGUUGGUGAGGUAAUGGCUCACCAAGGCGACGAUCCCUAGCUGGUCUGAGAGGAUGAUCAGCCACACUGGAACUGAGACACGGUCCAGACUCCUACGGGAGGCAGCAGUGGGGAAUAUUGCACAAUGGGGGAAACCCUGAUGCAGCCGUGCCGCGUGUGUGAAGAAGGCCUUCGGGUUGUAAAGCAAUUGCAGCGAGGAGGAAAGGUUGGUAGCUAAUAAAUGCCAGCUGUGACGUACUCGCAGA
RNAcentral lists this ribosomal RNA (472 nucleotides) under uncultured bacterium. Its description in RNAcentral is "bacterial SSU rRNA". It matches the Rfam family "Bacterial small subunit ribosomal RNA", at positions 36 to 485 of the family's 1533-position model. The record is from RNAcentral.